Non-coding RNA from Osmia lignaria (orchard mason bee), 446 nucleotides. The record is from RefSeq and is a predicted model, not a curated record. Lineage: Eukaryota; Metazoa; Arthropoda; Insecta; Hymenoptera; Megachilidae.
AAUUAUGCAUACACCUUCAAUAGAAAGCAAAUUUGGUGGGAUCAAUAGGGCCCUGUGUAAUGACACUUGCAGCGCUGUUUGUACACUUGUGCUAUUUGGAGUACAAACAAAACUGUUUUCAAGAUCGUCAACAAUUAUGUUUCAGAUAAACUCAAUGACAGGAAGGUAUACACUGGGAUAAUAACUUCCAAAAAAUUAUGGGCAGUAUUAUUUAUGAAUAAUUUUGUAAAAUUGCAUAGCCUUCCUUGGUCAUGUCAACAGCAAUUGACCACUUCAAAAUAUUGCAUCCGAUUGCAUUUCUCGAUUGUUGCCUCGCGUAUGACGUAAAAAAUGCAUCGCAUUACGAGAUUGCAAUAAAACUCGAGGAAUACAUACUUGUACUGAUGAGAGAACACGUUUAUUUGAUAUGUUAAUUACAGGUUCAAUAAAUUAAUUAAAUAAGUACA